UUAGAUUGAGCUCUAAUGAAAGUGCUUUCUAAGAACAUUUUCCAAAAGUGAAGCACCUGAGGAGAGCAACCAGCAGAGUCAGACCAUCUCAGAGGUCUUGCAUUUCAAGGAGUGAUUGUGACUUAGUCAAUAAAUUCACUUGGAGAGAGACAUGCAGCAAAUAAUUGAAUGAAAAAAAGUUUUGAAAAUUCAAAAAAUCAAUGAAAAGGAAUCUUAGGCAGGAAGAUCUUCCAAAAAAAAAAGAA
RNAcentral lists this long non-coding RNA (245 nucleotides) under Pan paniscus (pygmy chimpanzee). RNAcentral's name for it is "lncRNA (ENSPPAG00000044810.1)". Lineage: Eukaryota; Metazoa; Chordata; Mammalia; Primates; Hominidae. The record is from RNAcentral.